This 464-nucleotide ribosomal RNA is filed under the name uncultured bacterium. RNAcentral describes it as "bacterial SSU rRNA". It matches the Rfam family "Bacterial small subunit ribosomal RNA", at positions 329 to 793 of the family's 1533-position model. The record is from RNAcentral.
GGCCAGACUCCUACGGGAGGCAGCAGUGGGGAAUAUUGCACAAUGGGGGGAACCCUGAUGCAGCGACGCCGCGUGGGUGAAGGAGCACCUCGGUGCGUAAAGCCCUAUCGGCAGGGAAGAAAAGCGAGCAGGUUCGCCUGGACGGUACCUGACUAAGAAGCCCCGGCUAACUACGUGCCAGCAGCCGCGGUAAUACGUAGGGGGCAAGCGUUAUCCGGAUUUACUGGGUGUAAAGGGAGCGUAGACGGCGAUGCAAGUCUGAAGUGAAAGCCCGGGGCUCAACCCCGGGACUGCUUUGGAAACUGUAUGGCUGGAGUGCUGGAGAGGCAAGCGGAAUUCCUAGUGUAGCGGUGAAAUGCGUAGAUAUUAGGAAGAACACCAGUGGCGAAGGCGGCUUGCUGGACAGUAACUGACGUUGAGGCUCGAAAGCGUGGGGAGCAAACAGGAUUAGAUACCCCUGUACG